UGCCAGCCGCCGCGGUAAUACGGAGGGUGCAAGCGUUGUUCGGAAUUAUUGGGCGUAAAGCGCGUGUAGGCGGUUUGGCAAGUCUGGUGUGAAAGCCCGGGGCUCAACCCCGGAAGGGCACUGGAAACUACCAAGCUAGAGUACCGGAGAGGAGGGUGGAAUUCCUGGUGUAGCGGUGAAAUGCGUAGAUAUCAGGAGGAACACCGGUGGCGAAGGCGGCCCUCUGGACUGAUAUUGACGCUGAGGUGCGAAAGCGUGGGGAGCAAACAGGAUUAGAUA
Molecule: ribosomal RNA, 279 nt
Filed under: uncultured bacterium
Lineage: Bacteria
Description: partial 16S ribosomal RNA
Rfam family: Bacterial small subunit ribosomal RNA
Source: RNAcentral